CUAACACAUGCAAGUCUGAGCGGAUGACGGGGGCUUGCUCCUUGAUUCAGCGGCGGACGGGUGAGUAAUGCCUAGGAAUCUGCCUGGUAGUGGGGGACAACGUUUCCAAAGGAACGCUAAUUCCGCAUACGUCCUACGGGAGAAACCAUGGGACCUUCGGGCCUUGCGCUAUCANAUGAGCCUAGGUCGGAUUAACUANUUGGUGGGGUAAUGGCUCACCAAGGCGACCAUCCGUAACUGGUCUGAGAGGAUG
RNAcentral lists this ribosomal RNA (253 nucleotides) under uncultured bacterium. RNAcentral describes it as "partial 16S ribosomal RNA". It matches the Rfam family "Bacterial small subunit ribosomal RNA", at positions 48 to 302 of the family's 1533-position model. The record is from RNAcentral.